GCCAGUGUGAUGUAGUGGCUUGAGUGUUGGGCUAUGACUCUAGAGACCAGGGUUCAAAUCCCUGUCCAGCCA
Molecule: non-coding RNA, 72 nt
Organism: Phrynosoma platyrhinos (Desert horned lizard)
Lineage: Eukaryota; Metazoa; Chordata; Lepidosauria; Squamata; Phrynosomatidae
Source: the annotation of a GenBank genome assembly